Molecule: ribosomal RNA, 551 nt
Filed under: uncultured bacterium
Lineage: Bacteria
Description: bacterial SSU rRNA
Rfam family: Bacterial small subunit ribosomal RNA
Source: RNAcentral
AAUAGAUACCCAGGUAGUCCACGCCGUAAACGAUGAGUGCUAAGUGUUAGGGGGUUUCCGCCCCUUAGUGCUGCAGCUAACGCAUUAAGCACUCCGCCUGGGGAGUACGGUCGCAAGACUGAAACUCAAAGGAAUUGACGGGGGCCCGCACAAGCGGUGGAGCAUGUGGUUUAAUUCGAAGCAACGCGAAGAACCUUACCAGGUCUUGACAUCCCAUUGACCACUAUGGAGACAUAGUUUUCCCUUCGGGGACAACGGUGACAGGUGGUGCAUGGUUGUCGUCAGCUCGUGUCGUGAGAUGUUGGGUUAAGUCCCGCAACGAGCGCAACCCUUGUUCUUAGUUGCCAUCAUUUAGUUGGGCACUCUAAGGAGACUGCCGGUGACAAACCGGAGGAAGGUGGGGAUGACGUCAAAUCAUCAUGCCCCUUAUGACCUGGGCUACACACGUGCUACAAUGGACGGUACAAACGGUUGCCAACCCGCGAGGGGGAGCUAAUCCGAUAAAACCGUUCUCAGUUCGGAUUGUAGGCUGCAACUCGCCUACAUGAACG